CCGCACAAGCGGUGGAGCAUAUGGUUAAUUCGACGCAACGCGAAGAACCUUACCAGGGCUUGACAUCCCCUGACCGCGUAUGAAAGUACGUUUUCACCCUCGGGUGACAGGGAGACAGGUGGUGCAUGGUUGUCGUCAGCUCGUGUCGUGAGAUGUUGGGUUAAGUCCCGCAACGAGCGCAACCCCUACGUUUAGUUGCUAACGCGUGAAGGCGAGCACUCUAGACGAACUGCCGUUGACAAAACGGAGGAAGGUGGGAUGACGUCAAAUCAUCAUGCCCCUUAUGUUCUGGGCUACACACGUGCUACAAUGGCCGGUACAGACGGAGGCGAAGCCGCGAGGCGGAGCAAAUCCGAAAAAGCCGGUCUCAGUUCGGAUUGCAGGCUGCAAUUCGCCUGCAUGAAGUCGGAAUCGCUAGUAAUCGCAGGUCAGCAUACUGCGGUGAAUACGUUCCCGGGCCUU
This 462-nucleotide ribosomal RNA is filed under the name uncultured Pelotomaculum sp. Its description in RNAcentral is "bacterial SSU rRNA". It matches the Rfam family "Bacterial small subunit ribosomal RNA", at positions 921 to 1382 of the family's 1533-position model. The record is from RNAcentral. Lineage: Bacteria; Bacillati; Bacillota; Clostridia; Eubacteriales; Desulfotomaculaceae.